UCGAGCGAACAGAUAAGGAGCUUGCUCCUUUGACGUUAGCGGCGGACGGGUGAGUAACACGUGGAUAACCUACCUAUAAGACUGGGAUAACUUCGGGAAACCGGAGCUAAUACCGGAUAACAUAUUGAACCGCAUGGUUCAAUAGUGAAAGGCGGCUUUGCUGUCACUUAUAGAUGGAUCCGCGCCGUAUUAGCUAGUUGGUAAGGUAACGGCUUACCAAGGCAACGAUACGUAGCCGACCUGAGAGGGUGAUCGGCCACACUGGAACUGAGACACGGUCCAGACUCCUACGGGAGGCAGCAGUAGGGAAUCUUCCGCAAUGGGCGAAAGCCUGACGGAGCAACGCCGCGUGAGUGAUGAAGGUCUUCGGAUCGUAAAACUCUGUUAUCAGGGAAGAACAAAUGUGUAAGUAACUGUGCACAUCUUGACGGUACCUGAUCAGAAAGCCACGGCUAACUACGUGCCAGCAGCCGCGGUAAUACGUAGGUGGCAAGCGUUAUCCGGAAUUAUUGGGCGUAAAGCGCGCGUAGGCGGUUUUUUAAGUCUGAUGUGAAAGCCCACGGCUCAACCGUGGAGGGUCAUUGGAAACUGGAAAACUUG
This 600-nucleotide ribosomal RNA is filed under the name bacterium Ca.S26BB. RNAcentral's name for it is "bacterial SSU rRNA". It matches the Rfam family "Bacterial small subunit ribosomal RNA", at positions 62 to 644 of the family's 1533-position model. The record is from RNAcentral.